UCAUUCACAAUGGGGGAAACCCUGAUGGUGCGACGCCGCGUGGGGGAAUGAAGGUCUUCGGAUUGUAAACCCCUGUCAUGUGGGAGCAAAUUAAAAAGAUAGUACCACAAGAGGAAGAGACGGCUAACUCUGUGCCAGCAGCCGCGGUAAUACAGAGGUCUCAAGCGUUGUUCGGAAUCACUGGGCGUAAAGCGUGCGUAGGCUGUUUCGUAAGUCGUGUGUGAAAGGCGCGGGCUCAACCCGCGGACGGCACAUGAUACUGCGAGACUAGAGUAAGGGAGGGGGAACCGGAAUUCUCGGUGUAGCAGUGAAAUGCGUAGAUAUCGAGAGGAACACUCGUGGCGAAGGCGGGUUCCUGGACAUUAACUGACGCUGAGGCACGAAGGCCAGGGGAGCGAAAGCGUGGGUAGCAAACA
This 416-nucleotide ribosomal RNA is filed under the name uncultured bacterium. RNAcentral's name for it is "bacterial SSU rRNA". It matches the Rfam family "Bacterial small subunit ribosomal RNA", at positions 362 to 787 of the family's 1533-position model. The record is from RNAcentral.